This is a long non-coding RNA of Homo sapiens (human), 1010 nucleotides long. The record is from Ensembl. Lineage: Eukaryota; Metazoa; Chordata; Mammalia; Primates; Hominidae.
GAGUAGCUGGGACUGCAGGCGCCCGCCACCAUGCCUGGCUAAUUUUUUGUAUGUUUAGUAGAGACGGGGUUUCACCGUGUUAGCCAGGAUGGUCUCUAUCUCCUGACCUUGUGAUCUGCCUGCCUCGGCCUCCCGAAGUGCCGGGAUUACAAGCGUGAGCCACCAUUCCCGGCCCAAAGAGGAGAAGAAGUAUGAAGUGCUUGCUUGGACCUUUCUACUGUGCUUAUUAUUCUGUCUUCUCCUCAUGGCAAAUUUCUUUUUUAUUUUCAUUUAUUAAAUACAGAAGAAAUAUUUCGCUGAAGACACAGGAAACCCUAUUUUGUAUAAACGAGGGAUUGCAAGAGAUUGUUGGAAGAUCAAAGAUGGGUGAAUUGGAGGGGAAACGGGAAGGCUGGAACCAUGUCCAGCUGGGAUAAGGCUUCAGUCUCAUCCUGUGAUGAAGAAAUUUUCCCUGUAGAACAGGCCUUUGUUAUGGAGAAAAAUUAGCUCUUCCUGAGAACAAAAAGGAUUUAUGAAGGAAAAAGCAGCUAAUCAAAGAAGUUCUGAGUUUAAAUUCUGUUUUGUCCACUUACUAGCCAUUUGGCCUUGGGCAAGUCACUUUACUGGACCUCAGUUUCCUUGUAUGUGAAAGGUUUUGGUAAAAAUCAUAUUAGUUAAAGAAUGUAAAGAGUUUUAUAAAUUACAAAGUGAUUAAAAAAAGUAAAAUGUAUUGUUGUUUAGGAACAAUGAAAAAAAAAGAAACCUUGACAUUUUUUCUUCAAGUUCUUGCCUAAAAUGUUUAUUUGUUUGGCCCUUUUUAGAUUUAACAAAUUCUAUGUGUCUAAAUAUCAGUGUAGACCCCUUCUUACCCUACUGGAUUUAUAAGGUACUAAAAGUAGAUAUGCAUCUCUUCUGUCUUGGUUCGCUCUAAAAUGGGAUGUUUGCAAACCUCUUGGUUUUUCUUUUUUAAUAUGGAUGAAGCUUAUAUUAAUUUUUGGCUUGGUAUUAAAUUUUGUUUGGAAUAUUAUUAA